AUCCAGAUGACGAGUUCCAAAUAGGACGAAGUGUGGCAUAUCUUGGAU
This 48-nucleotide non-coding RNA is filed under the name Trichobilharzia regenti. Lineage: Eukaryota; Metazoa; Platyhelminthes; Trematoda; Strigeidida; Schistosomatidae. The record is from RNAcentral.